RNAcentral lists this long non-coding RNA (256 nucleotides) under Gossypium raimondii (Peruvian cotton). RNAcentral describes it as "long non-coding RNA (GRAI_LNC008302)". The record is from RNAcentral. Lineage: Eukaryota; Viridiplantae; Streptophyta; Magnoliopsida; Malvales; Malvaceae.
GGGAGUUGUACCGUUUAGAGGUUGGCUUAUGCCGAAUUUGGUCUUUAGGCUUUGUGGGAAUCGAUUUUGGGGUUGUUUUUUCUCUGUCUGCUUUGAUUUGGUCAGUUUUUCUUUCACUUUUUGCUUGUACUGAAUAUUGCUAAAGACUGUGGGUAGCUUUCGGGUUUGCUCAUUUGGUUUCUUGUUUCUCUUUUUAUUCUUUUUGUUUUGUCUUCUUGUUUUUACUUUGACGGAAUAGUUCGUUAGUCCCCUCUUC